GGGGCUGUGGUUCAGUGGUAGAUCGCUUGCCUGGCAUGUGUGAGGCACUGGGUUCAAUCCCCAGCACCACA
This 71-nucleotide transfer RNA is filed under the name Marmota monax (woodchuck). RNAcentral's name for it is "tRNA.Ala". It matches the Rfam family "tRNA". From Rfam's summary of the family: Transfer RNA (tRNA) molecules are approximately 80 nucleotides in length. Their secondary structure includes four short double-helical elements and three loops (D, anti-codon, and T loops). Further hydrogen bonds mediate the characteristic L-shaped molecular structure. tRNAs have two regions of fundamental functional importance: the anti-codon, which is responsible for specific mRNA codon recognition, and the 3' end, to which the tRNAs corresponding amino acid is attached (by aminoacyl-tRNA synthetases). tRNAs cope with the degeneracy of the genetic code in two manners: having more than one tRNA (with a specific anti-codon) for a particular amino acid; and 'wobble' base-pairing, i.e. permitting non-standard base-pairing at the 3rd anti-codon position. The record is from RNAcentral. Lineage: Eukaryota; Metazoa; Chordata; Mammalia; Rodentia; Sciuridae.